UACACGACCGUACCGCAAACCGACACUGGUGCGCGAGAUGAGUAUUCUAAGGCGCUUGAGAGAACUCAGGAGAAGGAACUCGGCAAAUUGACACCGUAACUUCGGAAGAAGGUGUGCCUUUAGUAGGUGAACCAUUUACUUGGGGAGCCCAAUGAGGCUGCAAAAAAUCGGUGGCUGCAACUGUUUAUUAAAAACACAGCACUCUGCUAAGACGAAAGUCGACGUAUAGGGCGUGACGCCUGCCCGGUGCUGUAAGAUUAAAUGAUGGGGUGCAAGCUCUUGAUUGAAGUCCCAGUAAACGGCGGCCGUAACUAUAACGGUCCUAAGGUAGCGAAAUUCCUUGUCGGGUAAGUUCCGACCUGCACGAAUGGCGUAAUGAUGGCCACACUGUCUCCUCCUGAGCCUCAGCGAAGUUGAAAUGUUUGUGAUGAUGCAAUCUCCCCGCGGAAAGACGGAAAGACCCCAUGAACCUUUACUGUAGCUUUGUAUUGGACUUUGAACAGAUCUGUGUAGGAUAGGUGGGAGGCUUUGAAGUGUGGUCGCUAGAUCGCAUGGAGCCAACGUUGAAAUACCACCCUGGUGUGUUUGAGGUUCUAACCUAGGUCCAUUAUCUGGAUCGGGGACAGUGCAUGGUAGGCAGUUUGACUGGGGCGGUCUCCUCCCAAAGUGUAACGGAGGAGUUCGAAGGUACGCUAGGUACGGUCGGACAUCGUGCUAAUAGUGCAAUGGCAUAAGCGUGCUUAACUGCGAGACUGACAAGUCGAGCAGAUGCGAAAGCAGGACAUAGUGAUCCGGUGGUUCUGUAUGGAAGGGCCAUCGCUCAACGGAUAAAAGGCACUCUGGGGAUAACAGGCUGAUACCGCCCAAGAGUUCAUAUCGACGGCGGUGUUUGGCACCUCGAUGUCGGCUCAUCUCAUCCUGCGGCUGUAGCCGGUCCCAAGGGUAUGGCUGUUCGCCAUUUAAAGAGGUACGUGAGCUGGGUUUAAAACGUCGUGAGACAGUUUGGUCCCUAUCUUCCGUGGGCGCUGCAGAUUUGAGGAAGCCUGCUCCUAGUACGAGAGGACCGGAGUGGACGAACCUCUGGUGUAUCGGUUGUCACGCCAGUGGCAUUGCCGAGUAGCUAAGUUCGGAAGAGAUAACCGCUGAAAGCAUCUAAGCGGGAAACUCGUUUCAAGAUUAGAUCUGCCGGGGCCUUGAGCCCCCUAAAGAGUCGUUCAAGACCAGGACGUUGAUAGGUCAGGUGUGGAAGC
This 1250-nucleotide ribosomal RNA is filed under the name metagenome. RNAcentral describes it as "bacterial LSU rRNA". It matches the Rfam family "Bacterial large subunit ribosomal RNA", at positions 1635 to 2874 of the family's 2925-position model. The record is from RNAcentral.